AUAAUGGUGUCUUUAGACACCACUUCAUCUUUGGAAUACUGUUUCUU
Picea glauca (white spruce) is the source of this 47-nucleotide non-coding RNA. Lineage: Eukaryota; Viridiplantae; Streptophyta; Pinopsida; Pinales; Pinaceae. The record is from Rfam.